UACAGAGGGUGCGAGCGUUGUUCGGAAUUAUUGGGCGUAAAGGGCGCGUAGGCGGUGCGGUAAGUCACCUGUGAAAUCUCCUGGCUCAACUGGGAGCUUGCAGGCGAAACUGCCGUGCUGGAGUGUGGGAGAGGUGCGUGGAAUUCCUGGUGUAGCGGUGAAAUGCGUAGAUAUCAGGAGGAACACCAGUGGCGAAGGCGGCUACCUGGACCGGUUCUGACGCUGAGGCACGAAGGUCAGGGGAGCAAACGGG
RNAcentral lists this ribosomal RNA (253 nucleotides) under uncultured bacterium. RNAcentral describes it as "partial 16S ribosomal RNA". It matches the Rfam family "Bacterial small subunit ribosomal RNA", at positions 524 to 776 of the family's 1533-position model. The record is from RNAcentral.